GACAGAAUUGCCAGUGUUGAAGGUAACUCAACCUUAACAGCCUCCCUUUCUAUUCAAUUUAUUGACUUAUGCAGAAUGGUUGCAUACAAAGGACACUCUGUUUUAAAUUAAAAGUGUGAUACAUCUUCAGUGCAGCGUUGGAAGGAGCAGAACAUUUAUGCUAGUGUGAGGGAACAUGGAGGCUGAAGAGGUGUGUACGUGCUGGCUAACUCCUCUCGACCCUGCACACACACGCACACACACACAGAUUCACAAACUCUUAACCCUGCAGACACACAUAUUCCACCACCCUUCACCCUGCUGUAAAUUGAAGUGAGUCUGAGUUUUUAUGUCCAUUCAGGCGGUUCCGCCGAGCACAAGGGAAAGGUUUCGCCAUGAAGACAUGGAAACGUGUCAAAUAAAUUGGAGGGGCAAGAGAGAAACACGGCUAAGUAGGAGGAUGCAAAUUGUAAUAUAACACAAGACAUAAAGAGAAUGAAGAGCCCCACAAAUGCAUGCAUACUCCAAGGAAGCAGUAUGAGUAGGAUGACCAGUUAAAUUUGGAGAAGCACAGACAGGCAGCAUACAUCUCCAUACUGAUUAUGCAGCGUCUAUUGUCCCACGGCUUGGUAAUUAUUGCAAUGCACAGUGCUCUGCUCUUCAGAAACCAUUAUGAAGCUGGGAUAAGAAGUCUGACCUCUUUCUGUCUGCCAGACUUGUUGCUUCUUACAAAGGGAGGGGGCAGCGAGGGGAAGAGGGAGGACAGGAGAGUGACGGGGCGGGGGGGGUGGAUCUUAUGUAGCCUUCUAGUCACAGAAGAGGGAAGGUUGAAGGAAAAAGAUGAGAAAUGAUGCACAAUUAACUCUUGAUUGAAAUAAGGACAAAAGAUGAAAGAUGUUCAUAGUAGAGCGAUCGCAUCCUUAUUUAUUUCAAAGGGUCAUCCAGUUUAAUUAUUGCACACUGUAGCUUUUUUUGGAAAAAAGGGCUGGUUUUGGAAGUUCUUUUGUCCAAAUGUAGUUGUUUUUUAAGUCAAAAUCCAGUAGAUUUGCCUGUCCCCAAGGUGAGUGGUUGGAAUUAUUUUUGGGGGUUGGAGAUAGAAGAAGUUGUUCUUGAAUCUUGAUUUGACCCAACAUGAUCCGGCAUUGGAGAUUUGCAUUGAUAAAAUCGCAUGGAUGACAAUGAUUGUUGUCGUACAGCUCUGAAUCAGUGGAUCAGUGGGAAUGCGACUUGGUCUCUGGUCUCUUUUAGUGAUAUGAAUUGCUUUCGCUGCGGCAUUCAACAGCCAUUAGUUCCAUCGAACGGCACACGAGGAAUCCUUGCGAUUGAAUGAAGCUGUGAAGAUUGAACGCGUAAGUGUAAAUCCUUAGUGUAAUUCAAACAAUGACUAAGCAACUGAUCCCUUUAUACUGAGCAUUUAAGUAUUUCUUUAUCACUUAGCCGAGUCCACACCCUAAAACAAAAAGGCUUCAGUUGUAGUUAAUGGGAUCAUCCCACUAGUGCAUUAAUGUGCCAGUUUCAUCCCCAUCAUCUAAUAACUGUUGUUUUAUAGCAGCAGGGGGUGUGAGCAUUUAAAUGGGUUUAUUUGCUGUACAUGUAUGAUCAUUAUCUACUGUCGGCCCGUAUUACUAUUCUAUUUAAUACACCUCUGUAUGUUGAAAAUCAUUUCAGGAUUCUUUUUUCAGUAAUAUCAUAAAGCAGCACCUUAAAAUCAUCCGAGUCCCCACUUUUAUUUAAUCAAUUUCACUUGUUUGUAAUAUGUCGUUGCGUCGUUAUGCAGAUAAAAUGUGUCCCUAUCACGAGGAUAAGCACAAAAUAUCUGAUAGUUUUGUAUCUUUAAAAAAACAAUCUACGGAGGCCUCUCACGUACGCACCAAACACACAAACAGACAGACGCACCAUAAAACAGUCCAUUUAUACCAAUGUCACCACCACAUAUUGUUCUCUCCCCCGGCUAAUGCAGUGUGUGUGUCUGUGCGUGCGUGCGUGUGUGUGUGUGUGUGUGUGUGUGUGUGUGUGUAGUAGAGAGAUACGGGGGGGUGUAAUUGUAUUGUUGGUAAUGGAUGUGGAGGGCUUACAAUUGGGUGUUAUUAGGACUACAAGGCUUUGCUACAUACUUUACAUGGACACAAUGGAGGGAAAGAUGGAGCAGUGACAGUUUGGGGGGUCAAAGUCUAGAGACAUUUUAAAAUCUGGGCCGGAUUUUUUUCCUUUUUUUUUUCAAGAAGGAAACUCCCACCAUCAAAUUAGAAAAUUAGAAAAAAAUAUAUAAUCAAAAGAGAAACUUUAGACUCCCGGCUGAGAAACAGUCCUGUUAUAGUGAAUUAUUAAGAUUUAAAUUUAGAUAAAAUAUAGUAUGAAUAUAAUGCCUUAAAAAGGUGGGAGGCUAAUAGUGAAUAGUUAACGUCAGGUGGAUUAAGAUAAUGACAUAUGAUAUAUAUAUUUUCUUAUUUUACAUUUACUAAAAAUUCGAUAAAAGACAUAAAUGCAGAGGGACUUAAGUUGGAGAAAAUAGGAAAGACAGAGUGACGAGAGGGAAGCAAUCAAAGUGUAGGAGGACGACCUGGAGAUGCUUAGAACACAAGAGAGGGAAACUUAGAACACAAGAGAGGGAAACUUAGAACACAAGAGAGGGAAAUUUAGAACACAAGAGAGGGAAACUUAGAACACAAGAGAGGGAAAUUUAAAACGCAGGAGAGGGAAACUUAGAACACAAGAGAGGGAAACUUAGAACACAAGAGAGGGAAAUUUAAAACGCAGGAGAGGGAAACUUAGAACACAAGAGAGGGAAACAGCAACAGACAAGAGGAAUACGUGAACACAGGCCAGAAGGUGACGGAGGUAUGAAGAGAAUAUUACGAUGAAAAAGAUUAGAAUAAAACGGCAAGGCGCACAGUUACAAUAGCUCUUCAGCUCAGGUCACUCCUUUGGAACACAUGAAUGGUAAUUGAUUGGCCUAAGAACAGCACAUAAUGCCCAGUGGCUCCUUCACCACCCAUUGCGCCCGUACGUAGGUGUGAGCUUUCUGUCUGUUGCCUUAGCGGAGUGAAUGCCAGUUGAUUGACAGGCAGAUAUUACGCCGUCGUGGUCAACGUGAAUAAAAGACACGAGGCGAGGAAACAUUAAACAGCCAUUAAUGCAGGAGACAAAGACACAUACACGCUCAGGCGGACACACACACACACACACACACACACAUAAGGCCAGAGGUGACCAGGGCAUCUUUUCCAGAAACUGGCAAAGGAUAAUAGCAAGCACUGAAUGAAGGGUGAACCAAAGGAUGGACCCUGGGAUUAAUACACAAGACCUACACAAACAACUUUGAACAAAGGAAUGCGCGUGCGGGGGUUGGCGGUUCACAGGUCGGUGUACGGCUGUAAUAAGAUGCAGAUGUCGGUCAAAGGACGUUGAAGUGAUGGUUCGGCGUCUCCUCACUGAUUGCAGGUGGCGCGAGAAGCUCUGCCUCCUCCUUUGUUGGAGUUUUAUUUAGCUUAGAGUUUUCCACGGACGCGGUGUGACUGUAAUUGUAUAGCAGGCUCGUCCUGGCUCGCUUUCAUUAUUGUUACUGUUUAAUAUGUCUUGAGGCGGUCGCCUGUCACCGCACACUGAUGGCACCAGCCAAAUGAAUGAUGCAUGCUGGGAGCGGUGACCA
Long non-coding RNA from Gasterosteus aculeatus aculeatus (three-spined stickleback), 3628 nucleotides. Lineage: Eukaryota; Metazoa; Chordata; Actinopteri; Perciformes; Gasterosteidae. The record is from Ensembl.